This 74-nucleotide transfer RNA is filed under the name Corydalis mucronata. Its description in RNAcentral is "tRNA-fMet". The stretch from base 6 to 68 matches the Rfam family "tRNA", at positions 6 to 65 of the family's 71-position model. Rfam says of the family: Transfer RNA (tRNA) molecules are approximately 80 nucleotides in length. The record is from RNAcentral. Lineage: Eukaryota; Viridiplantae; Streptophyta; Magnoliopsida; Ranunculales; Papaveraceae.
AGCGGAGUAGAACAACUUGGUAGCUCGCAAGGCUCAUAACCUUGAGUUCACGGGUUCAAAUCCUGGCUAGUAGG